GUCAAGCAAAGCAAAGGGUUGUUCUGGACUCCACCAUUUUACAACAGGAAAAGUAGGUGCUACUGUUAAUUGAGAGAAGCUUUUAAAAAAGUUGACGCCCUUUACCCCUGAAGAAAGAUUACAUGCACACUUUUGCCUCUUCUACAUAACUUCAUCAGAGGACAAUCAUCAUCCAGAUCUUCCUCGCUCUACAAUCUGCCUACAAAUGAGUGUUCAUAGCAAGCAUGCAACCAAGCUGUGAUACACGAAGUAUUACUGAAUUUAAUCAUUCCAUGUCACCUGUACUUUUUUCUCCAGUGUACAAUGCUUCAUAGAUCAAAUUGCUAAAAACAUCACCAACCUUUGCCAUCUUCUGGAGACUGUGCUUCAAAUUCAUUCAGGCUUUUACCUCAAAAUACAUUAUAAUUAACUCCAAAGCUAUAGAAUUCAUACCUGAUUUUUUUUGUCAUCCCCAGCGUUAGAUUCUUGACAAGAAUAUAGUAAAAGCGGUUUUUAGUAGAUUCCAUAAGCAAUGACUGAUGUAGACGAUGGUGUAUUAAUAAACAUGAGGAAGCCUAUGACAUUGUUUUUUACCCUUGUGAAAGAGGUUCUGCUAAGGUAUGCUUUUGAAAUGAGACAAAUAACAUCUGACAAAAAUAAGACCCUGCAAUUAUAAGAAAAAAGCGUUGUAAAAAUACAGCUCAGGAAGAAAAAAACCAGUUUCUGUCCUUUAAGAGUGCAGGACAGACUGUAAAGGUACUUUUAUUUUCUCCAAUCUAUAUGUAAAUUGAAAUAGCCUGAAAAAGGUAACAAACAGCACUGGUCUUUGUAAAUAGUCAACUGGUCACUAGUAGUGCAAUCUCCAUAUUGCACCAGGUACUUCU
Chroicocephalus ridibundus (black-headed gull) is the source of this 863-nucleotide long non-coding RNA. RefSeq lists it as uncharacterized. The record is from RefSeq and is a predicted model, not a curated record. The transcript is spliced from 3 exons. NCBI's taxonomy places the organism in Eukaryota, Metazoa, Chordata, Aves, Charadriiformes, Laridae.